RNAcentral lists this ribosomal RNA (465 nucleotides) under Vreelandella stevensii. RNAcentral describes it as "partial 16S ribosomal RNA". It matches the Rfam family "Bacterial small subunit ribosomal RNA", at positions 338 to 795 of the family's 1533-position model. Lineage: Bacteria; Pseudomonadati; Pseudomonadota; Gammaproteobacteria; Oceanospirillales; Halomonadaceae. The record is from RNAcentral.
CCUACGGGAGGCUGCAGUGGGGAAUAUUGGACAAUGGGGGCAACCCUGAUCCAGCCAUGCCGCGUGUGUGAAGAAGGCCCUCGGGUUGUAAAGCACUUUCAGUGAGGAAGAACGCCUGGUGGUUAAUACCCAUCAGGAAAGACAUCACUCACAGAAGAAGCACCGGCUAACUCCGUGCCAGCAGCCGCGGUAAUACGGAGGGUGCGAGCGUUAAUCGGAAUUACUGGGCGUAAAGCGCGCGUAGGUGGCUUGAUAAGCCGGUUGUGAAAGCCCCGGGCUCAACCUGGGAACGGCAUCCGGAACUGUCAAGCUAGAGUGCAGGAGAGGAAGGUAGAAUUCCCGGUGUAGUGGUGAAAUGCGUAGAGAUCGGGAGGAAUACCAGUGGCGAAGGCGGCCUUCUGGACUGACACUGACACUGAGGUGCGAAAGCGUGGGUAGCAAACAGGAUCAGAUACCCUUGUAGUC